This 253-nucleotide ribosomal RNA is filed under the name uncultured bacterium. RNAcentral's name for it is "partial 16S ribosomal RNA". It matches the Rfam family "Bacterial small subunit ribosomal RNA", at positions 524 to 776 of the family's 1533-position model. The record is from RNAcentral.
UACAGAGGUCUCAAGCGUUGUUCGGAUUCAUUGGGCGUAAAGGGUGCGUAGGCGGCGCGGUAAGUCGGGUGUGAAAUCUCGGAGCUUAACUCCGAAACUGCAUUCGAUACUGCCGUGCUUGAGGACUGGAGAGGAGACUGGAAUUUACGGUGUAGCGGUGAAAUGCGUAGAUAUCGUAAGGAAGACCAGUGGCGAAGGCGGGUCUCUGGACAGUUCCUGACACUGAGACACGAAGGCCAGGGGAGCAAACGGG